Molecule: ribosomal RNA, 507 nt
Filed under: uncultured bacterium
Lineage: Bacteria
Description: bacterial SSU rRNA
Rfam family: Bacterial small subunit ribosomal RNA
Source: RNAcentral
AUGGCUCAGGAUGAACGCUAGCGGCAGGCUUAACACAUGCAAGUCGAGGGGCAUCGGGAGUAGCAAUACUUGCCGGCGACCGGCGCAAGGGUGCGUAACGCGUGAGCAACAUGCCCGUAUCAGGGGGGAUAAUCCAUGGAAACGUGGUCUAAUACCCCAUAGUAAUUAUGUAAGGCAUCUUAUAUAAUUUAAAGCUUUGGUGGAUACGGAUUGGCUCGCGUGACAUUAGCUGGAUGGUAAGGUAACGGCUUACCAUGGCUACGAUGUCUAGGGGUUCUGAGAGGAAGGUCCCCCCACACUGGAACUGAGACACGGUCCAGACUCCUACGGGAGGCAGCAGUGAGGAAUAUUGGACAAUGGAUGGAAAUCUGAUCCAGCCAUGCCGCGUGCAAGGAAGACGGCCCUAUGGGUUGUAAACUGCUUUUGUAUGGGAGCAAUAAGGGCUACGUGUAGUCCGAUGAGAGUACCAUACGAAUAAGCACCGGCUAACUCCGUGCCAGCAGCUGC